Small nuclear RNA from Dromiciops gliroides (monito del monte), 104 nucleotides. NCBI's taxonomy places the organism in Eukaryota, Metazoa, Chordata, Mammalia, Microbiotheria, Microbiotheriidae. The record is from RefSeq and is a predicted model, not a curated record.
GCUGGGUGGCUCUAACCUCAUAGAAAGAUAUAAAUACACAGAGAAGAUGAGCAUGGCCCUUGAGCAAGGAUGACAUGCAAAUUCAUGAAAGAUGUAAAUACAGA